CAGGAAAAAGAUGUUGCGUUGCCAAGUUCUCCCCCUCCCAGUGUUGCGGGAUAGGUCAGCAGCUGCAGGAGAACUUGAUUAGUGCCUUGCCUCUGAGCAGAUGCAUUUCCCUGACAGCAUCGAUCCUGGGUGCUUUCGCUUUGCAGGCAGCUCCACAGAGGAGGAGCUUGGACUGCAAAGGAGGUGGCCUGUUGUCUGUUCAAGGCUAAUCAUCACCUGGAAGGAAGAAAUGUUCAGCAUGGUGCUAAUUGAUGUGUAUAUUUACUGUGAAGUACUACCCCAGGAGAAAAGAGGCAACCGGCUGCAUGAAUGGAAUUUGGAGAAAGGUAAUACCUCCUGGCAAACAACAGCAAGAUCCAUGAAAUCACUGUAGUCUUCCUGGAUAAGAGUUUGCCAAGAUUUCUGUAGACUCGGUCUUCCUUUCCACUCCUGGAAAUAACCCCUUUAGGGCAGAGUGGAAGCACAAAACACAGUAACACGUUCUCUUCUGCCUGUAUUCUACCUAAACAGUGGAUAAUUAGAAGUGCUUUGGGUUCUGCAUUCAGCUGCAACAAUAAACACUUUAAAUAGUUG
Long non-coding RNA from Bos indicus x Bos taurus (hybrid cattle), 573 nucleotides. Lineage: Eukaryota; Metazoa; Chordata; Mammalia; Artiodactyla; Bovidae. The record is from Ensembl.